UAAAGGCUUGGUCCUGACUUUACUGUCAGCUCUGGCUAAACUUACACAUGCAAGUAUCCGCACCCCUGUGAGAAUGCCCUCCAGUCUCCCGCCCGGAAACAAGGAGCCGGUAUCAGGCACGGUAAACACCUGCCCAUGACACCUUGCUUAGCCACACCCUCAAGGGACAUCAGCAGUGAUAGAUAUUAAGCCAUAAGUGAAAACUUGACUUAGUUAAGGCCUAGAGGGCCGGUAAAACUCGUGCCAGCCACCGCGGUUAUACGAGAGGCUCAAGUUGACAGACAACGGCGUAAAGAGUGGUUAGGGAAAUUUUAAACUAAAGCCAAACGUCCUCAAAGCUGUUUAACGCUCCCGAGUUAAGAAGAUCCAUUACGAAAGUAGCUUUACCCAUCCUGACCCCACGAAAGCUGUGACACAAACUGGGAUUAGAUACCCCACUAUGCUCAGCCAUAAAAUUUGAUAGGCCCCUACGCCCCCUAUCCGCCCGGGUACUACGAGCAUCAGCUUAAAACCCAAAGGACUUGGCGGUGCUUCACAUCCGUCUAGAGGAGCCUGUUCUAGAACCGAUAACCCCCGUUGAACCUCACCCUCCCUUGUUAAUACCGCCUAUAUACCGCCGUCGUCAGCCUACCCUGUGAAGGACUAGAAGUGAGCAAGAUUGGUAAGACCCAAAACGUCAGGUCGAGGUGUAGUGUAUGAGAGGGGAAGAAAUGGGCUACAUUUCCUAAAUCAGGAAACACGAACAAUGAACUGAAACAAGCAUUUGAAGGUGGAUUUAGCAGUAAGCAAGAAAACAGAGUGUUCUGCUGAAACAUGGCAAUAAAGCACGCACAUAUCGCCCGUCACUCUCCCCGAGCUAAUACGAAUAUAAUACCUAAAAAAUUACAUCUGCAAAGGGGAGGCAAGUCGUAACAUGGUAAGCGUACCGGAAGGUGCGCUUGGAACAAU
RNAcentral lists this non-coding RNA (948 nucleotides) under Amphiprion ocellaris (clown anemonefish). RNAcentral's name for it is "12S ribosomal RNA". It matches the Rfam family "Bacterial small subunit ribosomal RNA". Lineage: Eukaryota; Metazoa; Chordata; Actinopteri; Pomacentridae. The record is from RNAcentral.